AAUAACCAGGGGUGCCGAAAGGCUGAGAUCAGACCCAUUGAACCUGAUGCGGGUAAUGCCGCCGAAGGGAGGUUU
This 75-nucleotide non-coding RNA is filed under the name chicken gut metagenome. RNAcentral describes it as "TPP riboswitch (THI element)". It matches the Rfam family "TPP riboswitch aptamer (THI element)", at positions 7 to 92 of the family's 105-position model. Rfam says of the family: Vitamin B(1) in its active form thiamin pyrophosphate (TPP) is an essential coenzyme that is synthesised by coupling of pyrimidine and thiazole moieties in bacteria. The previously detected thiamin-regulatory element, thi box was extended, resulting in a new, highly conserved RNA secondary structure, the THI element, which is widely distributed in eubacteria and also occurs in some archaea. Analysis of operon structures identified a large number of new candidate thiamin-regulated genes, mostly transporters, in various prokaryotic organisms. The record is from RNAcentral.